AUUUUAAACGGCCGCGGUACCCUAACCGUGCAAAGGUAGCAUAAUCACUUGUCUCCUAAAUAGAGACUAGAAUGAAUGGCUAAAUGAAGACUAAACUGUCUCUUGCAGCCCACCUAUGAAACUGAUCCCUUAGUCAAAAAGCUAAGAUUACCCCGCAAGACGAGAAGACCCUGUGGAGCUUAAAACCAGACUCAUCCAAUGACCUCCCGGUUUUUAGUUGGGGCGACUUCGGAGAACAAAAAAUCCUCCGAUUAUACACCACAGAUCAACACAUCAAAUAUAACUUGACCCAGUAGCACUCCUGCUAACUGAUUAACGAACCAAGUUACCCCAGGGAUAACAGCGCCAUCCUCUUCUAGAGUCCCUAUCGACAAGAGGGCUUACGACCUCGAUGUUGGAUCAGGACACCCCUAUAGUGCAACCGCUAUAAAUGGUUCGUUUGUUCAACGAUUAAAGUCCUACGUGAUCUGAGUUCAGACCGGA
Molecule: ribosomal RNA, 483 nt
Filed under: Acanthodactylus tristrami
Lineage: Eukaryota; Metazoa; Chordata; Lepidosauria; Squamata; Lacertidae
Description: partial 16S ribosomal RNA
Rfam family: Bacterial large subunit ribosomal RNA
Source: RNAcentral